Mus musculus (house mouse) is the source of this 1206-nucleotide long non-coding RNA. RefSeq annotates it as predicted gene, 46151. The record is from RefSeq and is a predicted model, not a curated record. The transcript is spliced from 2 exons. Lineage: Eukaryota; Metazoa; Chordata; Mammalia; Rodentia; Muridae.
GCAGUUUGGUUUCUGUAAACUGCCUGAGAAAAAGGCAGGCUGGGGGCGGGGCAGGGCGUUUUGUUUGUCACUUCCUGGUUUGGGGUGGUUGUGUUCAGGAGAGGAGACUAGUGUGUGACCAGGUUCUUAGAAAGGUCCCAGAAUACACGCAGAUGGGGAGUUCUAGAAGGGAAAGGAGCCGGGCUCGGAGACACGCUCACCAGAUUGGCAUGGAUCACAGCGAUUCCCUCAAGCCUCCAUCUGCCUGGAAAUGCCUAGUGGUAUAUUCCCCCACAGUCCAGAACCUUCAACCUGUGAGCCAGUAGGCUUAGCUAUCCCACCCAGCCACAAACCUUCACCCUGGGGAGGCCACAGAGAGAACAGCGGGAGGCAGAGGCAUCCCCAUUUGAAACUACAACCAUUCUGAGAUUUUUGACCAAUGUGGUCUCUGAGCUGAAACCUCUCCCCAGUGGGAGCUCUGUGUAGGCAGAAGAGAGGCUCUGUCUGUCCUGAGAGGUGGGUUGUAUGGCUCCAGAUCACCCCAGCUGUGUGUGUUCUCUCCUGUCCUCUGAAUGCCAAGAGGUAAGGGUGUUCUGGUAUGUGAAUGCAUGAGACUGCACUGCUCAACAAUGCCAUGCCAGCCGUGCAGCGAACUAAGGCUCUGAAGAAUUUGCUAUGCAAAGGUUCUGGAAAGAUCCCUUUAAGGCAGAGCUUCUUAACCUCCCUAAUGUUGUGACCCUUAUAACACAGUUCUUCGCGUGGUGGUGACCCUCAACCAUAGUUAUUUUUGUUACUACUUCAUAACUGUAAUUUUGCUACUGUUGUGCAUCAGAAUGUAAAUAUUUGAUAUUCAGGAUAUCUGAUAUGUGGCCCUUAUGAAAUAGUCGUUCAACCUCCAAAGGGGACUCGACCCUCAGGGUUGAGAGGCACUGCUUUAAAGGCCUGCGGGAUCCUCUUCUACUCUCUCUCUCUCUCUCUCUCUCUCUGCCUGUGAUCUGUGAUGCACAUGUGAAGCUAGAGUUCUAGUAACCUUCAUGAACCAUGAAGACAGAGUAGGGAGAAGCCUUGGCAAAAACCAGUGCCUUGGAAAAGAGAGAGAGAGAGAAAAAGAACAACAUUUAACUACAUCAGAGUUGUUGAACUCUGUGUGAAAAAUGUAGCACAAAGGCAACAAACAAAAAAAAAAUUGGGAAGUAUUUGCAAAUCAGAGGACAAAAGGCACACACA